This 1568-nucleotide ribosomal RNA is filed under the name Salmonella enterica. RNAcentral's name for it is "partial 23S ribosomal RNA". It matches the Rfam family "Bacterial large subunit ribosomal RNA", at positions 1382 to 2925 of the family's 2925-position model. The record is from RNAcentral. Lineage: Bacteria; Pseudomonadati; Pseudomonadota; Gammaproteobacteria; Enterobacterales; Enterobacteriaceae.
AGUCGACCCCUAAGGCGAGGCCGAAAGGCGUAGUCGAUGGGAAACGGGUUAAUAUUCCCGUACUUGGUGUUACUGCGAAGGGGGGACGGAGAAGGCUAUGUUGGCCGGGCGACGGUUGUCCCGGUUUAAGCGUGUAGGUGUGUGUUCCAGGUAAAUCCGGUUCACUUUAACACUGAGGCGUGAUGACGAGGCACUACGGUGCUGAAGCAACAAAUGCCCUGCUUCCAGGAAAAGCCUCUAAGCAUCAGGUAACAUCAAAUCGUACCCCAAACCGACACAGGUGGUCAGGUAGAGAAUACCAAGGCGCUUGAGAGAACUCGGGUGAAGGAACUAGGCAAAAUGGUGCCGUAACUUCGGGAGAAGGCACGCUGACACGUAGGUGAAGUGAUUUACUCAUGGAGCUGAAGUCAGUCGAAGAUACCAGCUGGCUGCAACUGUUUAUUAAAAACACAGCACUGUGCAAACACGAAAGUGGACGUAUACGGUGUGACGCCUGCCCGGUGCCGGAAGGUUAAUUGAUGGGGUCAGCGCAAGCGAAGCUCCUGAUCGAAGCCCCGGUAAACGGCGGCCGUAACUAUAACGGUCCUAAGGUAGCGAAAUUCCUUGUCGGGUAAGUUCCGACCUGCACGAAUGGCGUAAUGAUGGCCAGGCUGUCUCCACCCGAGACUCAGUGAAAUUGAACUCGCUGUGAAGAUGCAGUGUACCCGCGGCAAGACGGAAAGACCCCGUGAACCUUUACUAUAGCUUGACACUGAACAUUGAGCCUUGAUGUGUAGGAUAGGUGGGAGGCUUUGAAGUGUGGACGCCAGUCUGCAUGGAGCCGGCCUUGAAAUACCACCCUUUAAUGUUUGAUGUUCUAACGUGGACCCGUGAUCCGGGUUGCGGACAGUGUCUGGUGGGUAGUUUGACUGGGGCGGUCUCCUCCUAAAGAGUAACGGAGGAGCACGAAGGUUGGCUAAUCCUGGUCGGACAUCAGGAGGUUAGUGCAAUGGCAUAAGCCAGCUUGACUGCGAGCGUGACGGCGCGAGCAGGUGCGAAAGCAGGUCAUAGUGAUCCGGUGGUUCUGAAUGGAAGGGCCAUCGCUCAACGGAUAAAAGGUACUCCGGGGAUAACAGGCUGAUACCGCCCAAGAGUUCAUAUCGACGGCGGUGUUUGGCACCUCGAUGUCGGCUCAUCACAUCCUGGGGCUGAAGUAGGUCCCAAGGGUAUGGCUGUUCGCCAUUUAAAGUGGUACGCGAGCUGGGUUUAGAACGUCGUGAGACAGUUCGGUCCCUAUCUGCCGUGGGCGCUGGAGAACUGAGGGGGGCUGCUCCUAGUACGAGAGGACCGGAGUGGACGCAUCACUGGUGUUCGGGUUGUCAUGCCAAUGGCACUGCCCGGUAGCUAAAUGCGGAAGAGAUAAGUGCUGAAAGCAUCUAAGCACGAAACUUGCCCCGAGAUGAGUUCUCCCUGAGACUUUAGGUCUCCUGAAGGAACGUUGAAGACGACGACGUUGAUAGGCCGGGUGUGUAAGCGCAGCGAUGCGUUGAGCUAACCGGUACUAAUGAACCGUGAGGCUUAACCUUACA